GGUCAGGGAUGGGCCCGCGGCCUAUCAGCUUGUUGGUGGGGUAAUGGCCUACCAAGGCGACGACGGGUAGCCGACCUGAGAGGGUGAUCGGCCACACUGGGACUGAGACACGGCCCAGACUCCUACGGGAGGCAGCAGUGGGGAAUAUUGCACAAUGGGCGCAAGCCUGAUGCAGCGACGCCGCGUGAGGGAUGACGGCCUUCGGGUUGUAAACCUCUUUCGCCAGGGACGAAGCGUGAGUGACGGUACCUGGAGAAGAAGCACCGGCCAACUACGUGCCAGCAGCCGCGGUAAUACGUAGGGUGCGAGCGUUGUCCGGAAUUACUGGGCGUAAAGAGCUCGUAGGCGGUUUGUCGCGUCGUCUGUGAAAUUCUGCAACUCAAUUGCAGGCGUGCAGGCGAUACGGGCAGACUUGAGUACUACAGGGGAGACUGGAAUUCCUGGUGUAGCGGUGAAAUGCGCAGAUAUCAGGAGGAACACCGGUGGCGAAGGCGGGUCUCUGGGUAGUAACUGACGCUGAGGAGCGAAAGCGUGGGGAGCGAACAGGAUUAGAUACCCUGGUAGUCCACGCCGUAAACGGUGGGUACUAGGUGUGGGGUCCAUUUCACGGAUUCCGUGCCGUAGCUAACGC
RNAcentral lists this ribosomal RNA (631 nucleotides) under Gordonia sp. (in: high G+C Gram-positive bacteria). RNAcentral's name for it is "bacterial SSU rRNA". It matches the Rfam family "Bacterial small subunit ribosomal RNA", at positions 217 to 858 of the family's 1533-position model. The record is from RNAcentral. Lineage: Bacteria; Bacillati; Actinomycetota; Actinomycetes; Mycobacteriales; Gordoniaceae.